This is a non-coding RNA of Carassius auratus (goldfish), 552 nucleotides long. Lineage: Eukaryota; Metazoa; Chordata; Actinopteri; Cypriniformes; Cyprinidae. The record is from the annotation of a RefSeq genome assembly.
AUGACCUUCAUCAUCAUCUUCAUCUGGACUCUCACAGCGUUUGCUCAAGAGUGUAGAGGACAGAUCAGCGUCACUCAGAGUCCCUCAACGACAGCAGCUCAACCAGGAGAAACAGUGAAGAUCAGCUGUAAAACCAGCAAAGAUGUGUACAGAUAUAGUGGAUCUGAUUAUUUAGCCUGGUACUUACAGAAACCUGGAGAAGCUCCUAAACUCCUGAUUUAUUAUGCAAACCGGCUCCAGUCAGGAACUCCAUCUAGAUUCAGUGGCAGUGGAUCUAACAGUGAUUUCACUCUGACCAUCAGUGGAGUCCAGACUGAAGAUGCUGGACAUUAUUACUGUCAGAGUUUCCACUGCAGAACUAGUGGUGUUAAUUGUGCGGGUGACUAUGUGUUCACACAGUGAUUGUGAGUGGUACAAAAACCUGUGUCAGUCAGAGUCACAGUGACUGAACUGAUGCUGCAGCUGAUCAAAGGAGGAUAUGAAACAACAUCAUAACACAUGCAUCUGAAAUAAAAUCAUCUAAAUGAAUCUGUCACUCUUAAUGAUCAUAGA